This is a long non-coding RNA of Neofelis nebulosa (Clouded leopard), 844 nucleotides long. RefSeq lists it as uncharacterized. NCBI's taxonomy places the organism in Eukaryota, Metazoa, Chordata, Mammalia, Carnivora, Felidae. The record is from RefSeq and is a predicted model, not a curated record. The transcript is spliced from 3 exons.
UGGGGACAGCUGGGAUGGAGGGACCAGGUCAGGGAAGUGAGGAAGAGAGGCUGGAGGGGCUGAUGCAAAGGCCAGGAAAGGAAGGCAUCAGAGUCUGGAUAAAGAAGCCAAGUGGACCACAGAUUAUCACGGGUUGGGGAGUCUGGUACGGCUGGGCCCCAACGUGGCUCUCUAAAACUGUUCACGCGAACACACGUCCCACCUCCUCGCCUGAGUUCCGUUUAACGCUAGGGAUGCAGAGCCUAAGACCCGGCCGCCAUCCCCAAGAGGCUCACAGUGGCGAGGAAGCCAGACCCAUAACAGGCCGGCCGAGAGCCAGGCCGAAGGUGCCAGGACGGAGGUGGCCCAGGUAACUCGGCCCCAAAGAGGCCCUCUGGGAAGGCUGCCUGGAGGCGGCGGGGCCGGACCUCGGGUCGCGGGCUUGGGAAGAGCGGAGGAGCGCGGCACGCCGGCCUCUCCGGGCGGGAGGGCGGCCCGAACGGACUCGCGCGGCCGGGUCUCCCUCCCCGCCCCUGCCAUCCCCGGGCGCCCCGCGUCCCCCGGGCCAUCCUAUGCCAGGCUCCGCGCGGGUCGGAAGCCAAAGCCGGAAGGGCCGGUCCUGCGGCGGGGCGUCCUCUCCCGUCGCCAGCGCGGCCGCCGACCUCGUCGCCAGCAAGCCCGGGGCCCCGCCGCCCUCCCGCUGAGUCAGCCGCACAAAGCACAGCAGCAGAAAAGGCCUCCUUCACCUGUUGGCAGAGGCUUCCUGGCUCUCAGUCUUCAUGACUCCCCUAGAUGCCCUUGACCUAAGAGAGAGCCCUCAACUUCCAUUUAUUGAACAAUAAAUACACAUAUCUGUUUGUUUCUA